This is a long non-coding RNA of Mobula hypostoma (lesser devil ray), 1026 nucleotides long. RefSeq lists it as uncharacterized. Lineage: Eukaryota; Metazoa; Chordata; Chondrichthyes; Myliobatiformes; Myliobatidae. The transcript has 3 exons. The record is from RefSeq and is a predicted model, not a curated record.
ACAGUGCAUGAUCACCUCCGCUUCUCAACAAUCUCACUGAGAAGAUUGAAAUCAUCGAGGCGAGUAUAGAGCGGUGAGUGGUUGUUCAGCGCCAUCUACCAGCCUCCCUCUCACUGCUGCCAGAAGAAGACGUUUGUGUGUGACAGUCUCUCUCUCCCUUUUGUUCGCUGCUCCCAGAGAGCAGUGGGAAUGCCAGUCAGGAUACUGGAAUGCUCCUCUUAUGGGAUGUGAGAAGGCAAGAAGACCCCCACCCCGCAACCGUCCCUGACGACUACAUCUGCAAGAAGUGCAGCUUCUAACAGACCAUGCCAAGGAGUUGGAGCUAGAAACGAUUGAACCCCAGAUCAUUCGAAAGGCUGAGGGGUUGAUAGACAGGAUGUACACAGAGGCUGGACACAGAUGCUGCCUGGCCUGCUGAGUUCCUCCCGUAUUUUGUCUGUGUUUCUUGGAUUUCUAGCAACUGCCGAUUUUCUCAUCUUUGGACCCCAUUCUCCUGCCUUCUUCCUGUAACCUUGACACCUUUACUGGGCAAGAACCUCAAAAAGUGAUCAUAUUGAAGAAUAAAUGCUUAGCGAGUGUUCCCUCUGAUGGAGGACUGUAACUUGGAAUGGGAUACUGCUGAAUUCUUCCAGCAUUUUGUGUGUGUUGCUUGGAUUUCCAGCAUCUGCAGAUUUUCUCUUGUUUGAAUGGGAUAUAAUGCUUGGAUAAGGAGUCACCAAUUUAAGAGGGAGUGAGGAUCUUUCAAAGGAUUAAUAAUCAUUGGAAUUCUCCAUGCUAUACUCAUGUUUCUUGUAUUCUAACAUUUGCUGACAGUAAGGGUUUGAGGUGUGAUCCUAUAAUUAAAUAGAGAAAAGCCUAUGCGCCCCUUUACUAACACAGAAUUAAAAUGACUCACAAUGUUAAAUAAAGCAACUUAUCCGAGAGCAAAUUCUGAGGAAAGGGCAACUCCCUUUACCUCUGUCAUCGCUUCCAUUCGAAACUUCCUCUUUAGGACUCACAAAGAAGCCAAUAGAUUGAUUCCUUUUU